RNAcentral lists this ribosomal RNA (856 nucleotides) under uncultured anaerobic bacterium. Its description in RNAcentral is "bacterial SSU rRNA". It matches the Rfam family "Bacterial small subunit ribosomal RNA", at positions 29 to 896 of the family's 1533-position model. The record is from RNAcentral.
ACGAACGCUGGCGGCGUGCCUAACACAUGCAAGUCGAACGGAGAUGUUGAUUUCGGUUGACGUCUUAGUGGCGAACGGGUGAGUAACGCGUGAACAAUCUGACCUUAAGAGGGGGAUAACAACGAGAAAUCGUUGCUAAUACCGCAUAAGACCACAAUGCCGCAUGGCGAAGGGGUCAAAGGAGCAAUCCGCUUAAGGAGGGGUUCGCGUCCCAUUAGGUAGUAGGUGAGGUAACGGCCCACCUAGCCGACGAUGGGUAGCCGAGCUGAGAGGCUGAUCGGCCACACUGGAACUGAGACACGGUCCAGACUCCUACGGGAGGCAGCAGUGGGGAAUAUUGGGCAAUGGGCGCAAGCCUGACCCAGCAACGCCGCGUGAGGGAAGAAGGUUUUCGGAUUGUAAACCUCUGUCGCAGAUGACGAAACAAAUGACGGUAAUCUGUGAGGAAGCCCCGGCUAACUACGUGCCAGCAGCCGCGGUAAUACGUAGGGGGCGAGCGUUGUCCGGAAUUACUGGGCGUAAAGGGAGCGUAGGCGGUCGAUUAAGUUGGAUGUGAAAUACCGGGCUUAACUUGGGGGGUGCAUCCAAUACUGGUUGACUAGAGUACAGGAGAGGAAAGCGGAAUUCCUAGUGUAGCGGUGAAAUGCAUAGAUAUUAGGAGGAACAUCGGUGGCGAAGGCGGCUUUCUGGACUGACACUGACGCUGAGGCUCGAAAGCGUGGGGAGCAAACAGGAUUAGAUACCCUGGUAGUCCACGCUGUAAACGAUGAAUACUAGGUGUAGGGGGGUGUAAACUCCCCCUGUGCCGCAGCUAACGCAAUAAGUAUUCCGCCUGGGGAGUACGGCCGCAAGGUUG